GACGAACGCUGGCGGCGUGCCUAAUACAUGCAAGUAGAACGCACAGUUUAUACCGUAGCUUGCUACACCAUAGACUGUGAGUUGCGAACGGGUGAGUAACGCGUAGGUAACCUGCCUGGUAGCGGGGGAUAACUAUUGGAAACGAUAGCUAAUACCGCAUAAUAUUAAUUAUUGCAUGAUAAUUAAUUGAAAGGUGCAAUUGCACCACUACCAGAUGGACCUGCGUUGUAUUAGCUAGUAGGUGAGGUAACGGCUCACCUAGGCGACGAUACAUAGCCGACCGGAGAGGGUGAUCGGCCACACUGGGACUGAGACACGGCCCAGACUCCUACGGGAGGCAGCAGUAGGGAAUCUUCGGCAAUGGACGAAAGUCUGACCGAGCAACGCCGCGUGAGUGAAGAAGGGUUUCGGAUCGUAAAGCUCUGUUGUAAGAGAAGAACGGGUGUGAGAGUGGAAAGUUCACACUGUGACGGUAUCUUACCAGAAAGGGACGGCUAACUACGUG
RNAcentral lists this ribosomal RNA (505 nucleotides) under uncultured bacterium. Its description in RNAcentral is "partial 16S ribosomal RNA". It matches the Rfam family "Bacterial small subunit ribosomal RNA", at positions 28 to 507 of the family's 1533-position model. The record is from RNAcentral.